UACAGAGGAUGCAAGCGUUAUCCGGAAUGAUUGGGCGUAAAGCGUCUGUAGGUGGCUUUUUAAGUCCGCCGUCAAAUCCCAGGGCUCAACUCUGGACAGGCGGUGGAAACUACCAAGCUGGAGUACGGUAGGGGCAGAGGGAAUUUCCGGGUGGAGUGGUGAAAUGCGUAGAGAUCCGGAGGAACACCAAAGGCGAAGGCAGUGUCCUGGGGAGUACCUGACGCUCAGGUGCGAAAGCCAGGGGAGCGAACGGG
RNAcentral lists this ribosomal RNA (254 nucleotides) under uncultured bacterium. RNAcentral's name for it is "partial 16S ribosomal RNA". It matches the Rfam family "Bacterial small subunit ribosomal RNA", at positions 524 to 776 of the family's 1533-position model. The record is from RNAcentral.